This 18-nucleotide small nuclear RNA is filed under the name Arabidopsis thaliana (thale cress). Its description in RNAcentral is "snRNA_03183". Lineage: Eukaryota; Viridiplantae; Streptophyta; Magnoliopsida; Brassicales; Brassicaceae. The record is from RNAcentral.
GACAAAGGUGCGCUCCGC